GCUAAUUGAAAUUAUAAUAGGAAUACGAAUACAAUGCUAACCAAUAUUUCUCAUCCGCGAGCAACACGAUUUGCAAGCAACCACCCCUAAAUGGAUAUUUUUAGCAUUAAAAGCACACUACAUUUAGUACAAAACCAGCAACAAUAAGUCAAAUACUACAUUUCCACUUCCAUGUUUAACGAGUUAUCAAGAACCCUUAUUGUUAACUGAAAAUGCAAAAACAUAAUAAUCAUAAGGCCUAUUCUAAAGAUCCUUGUCAAUAAAAUCUGCCUAGUACCGACCUACUAAUAUGAAGUCAUCAUCAUCAAGAACCUCAACGUCUUUUUCUCCCACAAAAUUCUCCCGCCCGAUUGACUUUACCAAAUUCACAAAUUCUACCCUCUUUGGCAGAGGAAGAGGUACAUAUGGUAGCCUGAAAACUGGUCUCACAACUCCAAGCUGUGCAAGAGCAGUGUUCAAUGCAAUGGGGUUUGGCUCCUGGAAAAGCCAAUCUAUGAGAGGCAUUAGUUUUGAAUUAAGUGCAGGAUCCUUCCCCUCAAACAUAAGUUUUCUCAUUAAGCCUGGGACUAAGUUGCUAGUAACAGAAAUCACUCCAGUAGCCCCAUGGUUCCACCUUGCAUCAUGGCAUUGAUCAUCAUUCCCACUCCACACCACAAUUCCUUUCUCCGUGUACUGUUCCACCCUAUCAUUACCCACACAUUCCUUAACACCUGCCAAGUUAGGACUCUGGGCCACACUGUGUAUCACACGCGGGGGAAUAUCUUGGCCAGUUCGUGAAGGCACAUUGUAAAUAAUAGUUGGACCCAUAGGUAGCACACUAUCGAAGUGAGAAACCAGGCCCUCCACAGAGGUUUUACCAUAGUAUGGAUUGAUGUGAAGAGCAGCAUGCAUUCCGACUGCAAAGCCUUGCUCUGUGGCAUGAAUUGCUUCCCUUGUAGAGUUGCUUCCAGUGUUUCCGAUCACCUUGAUAGAACCACCAAAACAGUUAACUGUAUGGCCAAUGAGCAUUAUGUGUUCAUCCCAGCUCAUCAACUGACCUUCACCAGUCGUGCCGCCAACAAUCACACCUUCAGCACCAUUAACAAUUUGCAUAUUGACCGAGGCAUCAUAUGCUUCAAGAUCAAAUCUACCAUCAGGUAAAUAUGGGGUUUUGAUGGCUGUUAUCAAUCUAAGCGAUUUUAUAUCCUCAGGUGAUGUCCUAUUUUUAACUUCAAAACUUCGCAUUGGGAGAUGGAAAUUGGGUAUUAUAGCAGCUUGAGGAGACCUCCAUUUUGCACUCCUCCUGUUCCAAAAAAACAAAGAUAAAUAAAGGAAGCACCUUCAGAGAAGAAAUAGACAAAAUAAAAUAUUGGCAAAGACAGAUAUCUCGACUACUAUUGCAGAAGGAAGGCUACAAGAGCUUCAAAACAAACUGAUCAAUUAAAAAUAAAAACAGAUUCAACCUCUUGUAGCAUCUGGUGGAAACAGGAAGGGGAAGCUGGCAAGCAGAAUCCCUCAAGCACACACUACUGCCACUCAAAGCAGCCAUCUCUUAUUUUAUCUCUUCCUCUUCUGAAACAAAGAAUAAUACCCAAGAAAAAUUUCUAGAACUAGAGCGAAAAGGUUAAAGAUUGCGACUUUUUUAGUGAAUCGUAACGGUGAUAAUGGUGAAAAUUGUAGAGAUAAACGCUGUGGAGAUAGUUUGCAAGAAGCAGUGGAGGUUGACGGCGGAACUAGAGCUUUGGUCAUCGGAGUACAUGACGUUAGUUUUCCGAUCAAUAGACGGCACUGGCGGCUGCUAUGACGAUGUAUUGCUCUCCCCUUAUAAUCGAAACAG
Molecule: unclassified non-coding RNA, 1816 nt
Filed under: Hevea brasiliensis (rubber tree)
Lineage: Eukaryota; Viridiplantae; Streptophyta; Magnoliopsida; Malpighiales; Euphorbiaceae
Source: RNAcentral